CACCGCGGUUAUACGAGAGGCCCAAGCUGACAAUUGCCGGCGUAAAGAGUGGUUAAUAAACCCGCCAUACUAAAGCCGAACAUCUCCAAAGUUGUACAACGCACUCGAAGAUACGAAGAUCUGCCACGAAAGUGACUUUACACUCUUUGAACCCACGAAAGCUAAGAAA
This 169-nucleotide ribosomal RNA is filed under the name Ostorhinchus gularis (Gular cardinalfish). RNAcentral's name for it is "partial 12S rRNA". Lineage: Eukaryota; Metazoa; Chordata; Actinopteri; Kurtiformes; Apogonidae. The record is from RNAcentral.